This 279-nucleotide ribosomal RNA is filed under the name uncultured bacterium. RNAcentral describes it as "partial 16S ribosomal RNA". It matches the Rfam family "Bacterial small subunit ribosomal RNA", at positions 506 to 784 of the family's 1533-position model. The record is from RNAcentral.
UGCCAGCAGCCGCGGUAAUACGGAGGGGGUUAGUGUUGUUCGGAAUUACUGGGCGUAAAGCGCGCGUAGGCGGAUUAGUCAGUCAGAGGUGAAAUCCCAGGGCUCAACCCUGGAACUGCCUUUGAUACUGCUAGUCUUGAGUUCGAGAGAGGUGAGUGGAAUUCCGAGUGUAGAGGUGAAAUUCGUAGAUAUUCGGAGGAACACCAGUGGCGAAGGCGGCUUUCUGGACCGAUACUGACGCUGAGACGCGAAAGCGUGGGGAGCAAACAGGAUUAGAUA